Molecule: long non-coding RNA, 263 nt
Filed under: Elaeis guineensis (African oil palm)
Lineage: Eukaryota; Viridiplantae; Streptophyta; Magnoliopsida; Arecales; Arecaceae
Description: long non-coding RNA (EGUI_LNC041857)
Source: RNAcentral
UGCCUCUCGUGCUCAAAUCCUGAUGGAGAUCAAAAGCCAAUCUACAUACAUUGGCCAAAAAAAUGAGGACGAAAUCGAGCCAAAGGGAUUAGAAGAAGUUCUAUCACUUCCAUCGAAACCAUGACCAUGAUAUCGAGGAGUAUCGCCAACUGAAGGAUGAGAUCAAGGAUCUGAUCCACCAAGGAUACCUUGAGGAGAAUGACCGAAAUAAAGGAAAAGACCCAGUGGAGGGAUCACAUCGGCCCAACACCGAUGUGAAUGAC